Molecule: ribosomal RNA, 301 nt
Filed under: uncultured bacterium
Lineage: Bacteria
Description: partial 16S ribosomal RNA
Rfam family: Bacterial small subunit ribosomal RNA
Source: RNAcentral
CAGUCGCCGCGGUAAUACGAAGGGUGCAAGCGUUGUUCGGAAUUAUUGGGCGUAAAGGGUGCGUAGGCGGCUUGACAAGUCUUGUGUGAAAUCUAUGGGCUCAACCCAUAGUCUGCACGGGAAACUGUCGGGCUUGAGAAUGGGAGAGGUGAGUGGAAUUUCCGGUGUAGCGGUGAAAUGCGUAGAUAUCGGAAGGAACACCUGUGGCGAAAGCGGCUCACUGGACCAUUUCUGACGCUGAUGCACGAAAGCUAGGGGAGCAAACAGGAUUAGAGACCCCCGUAGUCCCUGUCUCUUAUAA